AAUCAAAGAACACAUUGAGGUGGUCUUGCUCGCGGAUGUAGGUCGCCUCACUGUUGACCGAACUACGUAAAUUAUGUGUUCUUGUGUUCUUGUUUCAAGUUUUAGCAGGAGCUACUAGAGCAGAUGCCAUUGGCCUCUUGUUCACUUUAUUGUUUUGUUAUCCUUGUGCUUGUUUUUCUACUAUCGUUCUUAUCUAUUUUCAUUUACGAAAGAUCCUAUUUCCAUUGUACUCUUAUGCUAUGUGGGUUGGAGGUGUGCUCGGUAACCCCUCGAAGGGGUCUUUUAAUUGGUAUUGAAGCAUUUGGUUCUUCGUAGUUCAUUGACAGUGAAACGAUAGCAGAAAAAAUUAUAGUGACGAAAUAUGAAAUUUCUUUGUUUGAUGGUACAAAUUUCGCAUUGUGCAAACUGAAGUUACAAGCAGUCUUGAUCAAGGAUGCUUGUGAGAUCUCCUAGCAAGGAAAGGAGAAUAAGCUGGAAGGGUUGACGAAUAAGCAAUUUGAAGAGAAAGACAAGAUGGGUUUAG
This 523-nucleotide long non-coding RNA is filed under the name Ananas comosus (pineapple). RNAcentral's name for it is "long non-coding RNA (ACOM_LNC043779)". The record is from RNAcentral. Lineage: Eukaryota; Viridiplantae; Streptophyta; Magnoliopsida; Poales; Bromeliaceae.